UACGUAGGGGGCAAGCGUUGUCCGGAUUUACUGGGCGUAAAGAGCGUGUAGGCGGCCACGCAGGUCCGUUGUGAAAACUGGAGGCUCAACCUCCAGCUGUCGACGGAAACCGUAUGGCUAGAGUCCGGAAGAGGAGAGUGGAAUUCCUGGUGUAGCGGUGAAAUGCGCAGAUAUCAGGAAGAACACCAAUGGCGAAGGCAGCUCACUAAACUGUAACUGACGCUGAGGCACGAAAGCGUGGGGAGCAAACAGG
This 253-nucleotide ribosomal RNA is filed under the name uncultured bacterium. RNAcentral's name for it is "partial 16S ribosomal RNA". It matches the Rfam family "Bacterial small subunit ribosomal RNA", at positions 524 to 776 of the family's 1533-position model. The record is from RNAcentral.